GACGAACGCUGGCGGCGUGCCUAACACAUGCAAGUCGAGCGGAGUUGCAGGGUAGCUUGCUACCAUGUAACUUAGCGGCGGACGGGUGAGUAACACGUGGGCAACCUACCUUUCACAGGGGGACAACACAGGGAAACUUGUGCUAAUACCGCAUAACACAACGAAGUGGCAUCGCUUUGUUGUCAAAGGAGCAAUCCGGUGAAAGAUGGGCCCGCGUCCGAUUAGUUAGUUGGUGAGGUAAUGGCUCACCAAGACCGCGAUCGGUAGCCGAACUGAGAGGUUGAUCGGCCACAUUGGGACUGAGACACGGCCCAGACUCCUACGGGAGGCAGCAGUGGGGAAUAUUGCGCAAUGGGGGAAACCCUGACGCAGCAACGCCGCGUGAAGGAAGAAGGCUUUCGGGUUGUAAACUUCUUUGAUCAGGGAAGAAAGAAAUGACGGUACCUGAAGAACAAGCCACGGCUAACUACGUGCCAGCAGCCGCGGUAAC
This 490-nucleotide ribosomal RNA is filed under the name uncultured bacterium. Its description in RNAcentral is "bacterial SSU rRNA". It matches the Rfam family "Bacterial small subunit ribosomal RNA", at positions 28 to 524 of the family's 1533-position model. The record is from RNAcentral.